Molecule: ribosomal RNA, 264 nt
Filed under: uncultured archaeon
Lineage: Archaea
Description: partial 16S ribosomal RNA
Rfam family: Archaeal small subunit ribosomal RNA
Source: RNAcentral
AGUCACUGACAUUAGAUACCCGGGUAGUCCUGGCCGUAAACGAUGUGGACUUGGUGUUGGAAUGGCUCCGAGCUGCUCCAGCGCCGAAGGGAAGCUGUUAAGUCCACCGCCUGGGAAGUACGGUCGCAAGACUGAAACUUAAGGAUUGGCGGGGGAGCACCACGACGCGUGGAGCCUGCGGUUUAAUUGGAUUCAACGCCGGAAAUCUUACCGGGACCGACAGCAACAUGAAGGCCAAGCUGAAGACUUUGCCGGAUUUAGCUG